UACAGAGGGGGCGAGCGUUGUUCGGAAUUACUGGGCGUAAAGGGCGCGUAGGCGGCCGACUAAGUCAGACGUGAAAUCCCCCGGCUCAACCGGGGAACUGCGUCUGAUACUGGACGGCUCGAAUCCGGGAGAGGGAUGUGGAAUUCCAGGUGUAGCGGUGAAAUGCGUAGAUAUCUGGAGGAACACCGGUGGCGAAGGCGGCAUCCUGGACCGAGAUUGACGCUGAGGCGCGAAAGCCAGGGGAGCAAACGGG
This 253-nucleotide ribosomal RNA is filed under the name uncultured bacterium. RNAcentral describes it as "partial 16S ribosomal RNA". It matches the Rfam family "Bacterial small subunit ribosomal RNA", at positions 524 to 776 of the family's 1533-position model. The record is from RNAcentral.